Molecule: ribosomal RNA, 410 nt
Filed under: uncultured bacterium
Lineage: Bacteria
Description: partial 16S ribosomal RNA
Rfam family: Bacterial small subunit ribosomal RNA
Source: RNAcentral
CCUACGGGAGGCAGCAGUGGGGAAUAUUGGGCAAUGGGGGAAACCCUGACCCAGCGACGCCGCGUGGGGGAAGAAGGUCUUCGGAUCGUAAACCCCUGUCGAGGGGGAAGAAGUCCCCGUAAGGGGAUUGACGGUACCCCUAAAGGAAGCGCCGGCUAACUACGUGCCAGCAGCCGCGGUAAAACGUAGGGCGCAAGCGUUGUUCGGAAUCACUGGGCGUAAAGGGCGCGUAGGCGGUCGAAAAAGUCGGGUGUGAAAUCCCUGGGCUUAACCCAGGAAUGGCGCCCGAUACUCUUCGACUUGAGGAUGGGAGAGGGAGGUGGAAUUCCCGGUGUAGCGGCGAAAUGCGUAGAUAUCGGGAGGAACACCAGUGGCGAAGGCGGCCUCCUGGACCAUCCCUGACGCUGAGG